This is a long non-coding RNA of Drosophila hydei, 884 nucleotides long. RefSeq lists it as uncharacterized. NCBI's taxonomy places the organism in Eukaryota, Metazoa, Arthropoda, Insecta, Diptera, Drosophilidae. The record is from RefSeq and is a predicted model, not a curated record. The transcript is spliced from 3 exons.
CUUAUCUAGUUCAUUUCCUUUUAAAAUGUUCUGCUUGUGCGCAGACAGUCAGCAGUCGCAGACUGCGUUAUUUUCUUUCUAAAGGAAGCGACUGAACUCAAGUGAUUGGCACUUCUCCCUUUCGGUCUGUUGCCCAAAUUCAAACUUAUCGAAUUUAUGUUUGACUGUGUAUUGAAUUUUAAUGCUGGCUGGCAUUUGGAAUUGUGCGAGCAUCCUUUUGCCCUAUUACGCCCACGCAGUGCCCCUCGGCUAUCAGCUCGAGCUGCUUGAGGGAAUUCGCCUGAAAAACUACUUAAAAUAAACUCAUCCUCAUGGCGGGCGCUCCGAUUGGAUGCUGCGAAGAGAAAAACUAUAUCAACUAUAUAGAAAUAAAAUGAAAUGGAGGAAAACUUGUUGCCAGCCAAAUGCGUGGCACUGCAACCGCAAUCAAAUCACGCUGCCAGAGCUGAUGGCUGGGAUUUUCUGCUGAAUGCUUGAAGGCAGGAUUGAUGUUGUUGUUACUGAUCUUGCUGUUGUUGUUGUUGUCCUGUUGCAAUCAUUGCAAAGUUUUGCCUUGGUGACAUUUACAUGAAAGAGGAAGCAUCAAAUGCAGCCACGCCUCUUCUCUAACAGGCAGCGCAUUGCCAUUAAUGCAAGAAUUUAUGGAUGGCAACUAACAACAGCAACAACAGCAGCAACAGCAGCAGCAGCAACAACUACAAUUCACAAUGUUAACGCCACUGUGCGUUGUUAGCAGUUUCAAGUGUCUGGGAAACGGUGCAAGAGGAGAACGGAAGCAGCAGCAGCAGCAGCAACAAUGCAACAAGGCAGCAACUGUGCUGAUAACCAUAACACUGAGUGAUAUACGUAUGCACCCAGUAGAACUUUAAGCCAUGAAUAACAUA